RNAcentral lists this long non-coding RNA (2556 nucleotides) under Macaca mulatta (Rhesus monkey). RNAcentral describes it as "lncRNA (ENSMMUG00000058181.1)". Lineage: Eukaryota; Metazoa; Chordata; Mammalia; Primates; Cercopithecidae. The record is from RNAcentral.
CCGAGGCUCCGAAGUGACAGGUGGAAUAGCAGCCCGGGCUUCGGACCUCAGGCCUCAGUUUAUUCUCUGGGAGGGGACGCUCUCUCUCUGCGUCCUUGUGAAAAUGAUCUUGUCUUUAAACCCUGCGUGGCAAUCCUUGAUGCACCGCCGUGAUGCCCAGGGAAGACAGGGCAACCUGGAAGUCCAACUACUUCUUUAAGAUCAUCCAGCUUUUGGAUGAUUAUCCGAAAUGUUUCAUUGUGGGAACAGCAAUGUGGGCUCCAAGCAGAUGCAGCAGAUCCGCAUGUCCCUCCGAGAGAAGGCUGUGGUGCUGAUGGACAAGAACGGCCUGAUGCGCACGGCCAUCUGAGGGCACCUGGAAGACAACCCAGCUCUGGAGUAACUGUUGCCUCAUAUCUGGGGGAAUGUGGGCUUUGCGUUUACCAAGGAGGACCUCACUGAAAUCAGGGAUAUGUUGCUGGCUAGUAAGGUGCCAGCUGCCACCUGUGCUCGUCCCGUUGCCCCAUGUGAAGUCACUGUGCCAGCCCAGAACACUGGUCUGGGGCCUGAGAAGACCUCCUUUUUCCAGGCUUUAGGAAUCACCACUAAAAUCUCCAAGGGGCACCACUGAAAUCCUGAGUGAUGUGCAGCUGAUCAAGACUGGAGACAAAGUGGGAACCACGCUGCUGAACACGCUGAACCUCUCUCCCUUCUCCUUUGGGCUGGUCAACCAGCAGGUGUCUGACAGUGGCAGCAUCUACAACCCUGAAGUGCUUGACAUCACAGAGGAAACUGCAUUCUUGCUUCCUGGAGGGUGUCCGCGACGUUGCCAGUGUCUGUCUGCAGAUUGGCUACCCACCUGUUGCAUCAGUGCCCCAUUCUAUCAUCAGUGGGUACAAACGAGUCCUGGCUCUGUCUGUGGAGACUGAUUACACCUUCCUACUUGCUGGAAAGGUCAAGGCCUUCUUGGCUGAUCCAUCUGCUUUUGUGGCUGUUGCCUCUGUGGCUGCCACCACCACAGCUGCUCCUGCUACUGUAGCCCCACUGAGGUUGAAGCCAAGGAAGAGUUGGAGGAGCUGGAUGAGGAUGUGGGAUUUGGUCUCUUUGACUAAUCAUCAAAAAGCAACCAACUCAGCCAACUUUAUUUGCAAAACAAGGAAAUAAAGGCUUAAAUUCUUAAAAAAAAUAAAAAAAUAAAAAAGAAAGGUUGGACCAGGACAGGAGUAAGAACAGAGGCAAUUGGCCAAUACUGAUGACAUUCCCUAUAUGCAAUGCACCAUGCCCACCCAGAGAAAGACAUCACACUUACUAAAACUGGCCCAUUUCACAGACAGAUUGAGAGAGGCAGAGGAGUGAUUGUGCCCAAGAAUCUUACACUGGGGUGAGAGCUAAGCCUCUCUUGCCACCUACAGCUCUCAUCUCUAGGUUUGUCAUCUCUCAGAGGAAAGGCAGGAGAGAGAACUGACAAGAUUGGACCUUCUGAGUGGAAAGAGAUUUUUAGAGCUGGAAGGAAUCUUAGAAAUGACCAAAAGUUUGACAGAUUCAAGAGCUCAGGUAACUUGCUAAGAUCACAGAACAAAUCUUUGCUCCAGUGGGGACUAAGCUCUGGGUUUCUUGAAGAUGGACACAGGUAAAUUUGAUCCAAAAUGGCACUUCAAAGAGAAACAUACACGGACUGAUGGUGUUCCACCUUUAUUUAUUUAUUUUUUUUUUGAGAUGGAGUCUCAUUCCGUCUCCCAGGCUGGAGGCAAUAGCGUGAACUCAGCUUACUGCAACCUCCACCUCCUGGUUCAAGCAAUUCUCAUGCCUUAGCCACCUGAGUAGUUGGGAUUACAGGCAUGCGCCGCCGUGCCUUGCUGAUAUUUGUGUUUUUGGUAGAGACAGGGUUUCACCAUGAUGGUCAGGCUGAUCUCAAACUCCUGACCUCAUGAUCUGCCCGCCUUGGCCUCCCAAAGUGUUGGGAUUACAGGCGUGAGCCACCACGCCCAGUUUGUUUUCCACUUCUAAGUCCCAGAUGGUUCCUCCUGGGGUUCUAGAGGGGCUUGGAAUGGGACGACAAGCAACAUCUUCCUCCCGAGCAUCUACAGGAGCCUUGAUUGCCUCUCUCCUCCCCGAGGGAUCAGUGUUGGCCACACAACCUUGCCCAUGCCUCCACUUCUGCUCAGCUCUCAGUACGCAGAGGGUGGCUGGAGCUGGGGCCACAGAUGGACGUACAGCUGGGCAGCUCAGCACUCUCAUCUGUGCCUUAUCAGCUGGGGGGCUGUGGUGGCAUGAAGCUGGUGGGAGGCUGGCACUUGCCCAGGAUUCUCGGAGCCCUUGUGCUCAUCACUUCAUGAGUUCAGGCUGCGUGGGGACAGCUUGCUUCAAGUCCACAGUCAGGCGCAACCCUAACUCAGUCUGCCCUGCAAAGGCGGGCCCAGCCCCUGAUCCACAUGAACUGCCGGAAGAAAAAUCCAAAGGGAAAGUCAGUGAAGACAUUUGUGGAAAGAACUGUGGAAGAAGGAAUAAGAACCUACCAUUUUUCCUGCCAGUGUCUGCUAAUAAGUAAUAAUAAAAUAACAAUGAUAACUCAUAAUG